Molecule: small RNA, 652 nt
Filed under: Histoplasma capsulatum var. duboisii H88
Lineage: Eukaryota; Fungi; Ascomycota; Eurotiomycetes; Onygenales; Ajellomycetaceae
Description: Histoplasma capsulatum H88 hypothetical RNA
Source: RNAcentral
AGUGUCGACCCUGAGAUAGACAACCCUCAUUGAUCUCAAGGCUUGGUGAGAAAAUUAUACCACUUGAACGCGAGUGAGCGCUCAGAAAUGCACCGAAAUGAGUGGGCCAUUGUGGGCGAGCUUGGCUGAAGGGCGGAGGUAUGUUUGGGGGAGUGCGAAAGAAUCUACUCUCCUACUAUAAGCAGAUUACACCAUCUGCCCAAAGAAACUUAUUAUCGCUUCGUUAGAAAAAAAAAACAAAAGAAAGAAAGAAAGAAAAAAAAAUCCUUUCUAAUAUAUAACCUGACUCUGCGUCUGUUGUUUCAUUCGAUAUACUAUCCCCUAUGGGUCAUGACCUAUGUAUAGGCAAGAUCUAUGCAAACCCCGAAACGAAGCUCCAGACGUGGCCUAAUGCAUGUUUCGAGAACAUAUUGCAGGCGGAAGCCUCAUAAAUAAUCAACAUUCCAGAGUUAGAUAGCCCGCUCCUCUCCAUCGCUGUUUUUACCUUCAGUUUGUUCAACAUGCAGUGGAAUUGAGCAAUAUCGCAGUGCCGGUAUCAACGGAGUUUGGUGAGGGUGCAUCCACCGGUACGGAAUGAUCCAAAUAGAAAUACUACAAUAGUAAGUGACGUGUCUAUGGUUGGAGAUUGAAGAAAGGAGUCGCUUGUAGGGCG